This 253-nucleotide ribosomal RNA is filed under the name uncultured bacterium. RNAcentral describes it as "partial 16S ribosomal RNA". It matches the Rfam family "Bacterial small subunit ribosomal RNA", at positions 524 to 776 of the family's 1533-position model. The record is from RNAcentral.
UACGUAGGUGGCGAGCGUUGUCCGGAUUUACUGGGCGUAAAGAGCGCGCAGGCGGUCGUUCAAGUCGCGUGUGAAAGCCCCGGGCUCAACUGGGGAGGGUCACGCGAUACUGAUCGACUCGAAGGCAGGAGAGGGUAGUGGAAUUCCCGGUGUAGUGGUGAAAUGCGUAGAUGUCGGGAGGAACACCAGUGGCGAAGGCGACUACCUGGCCUGUUCUUGACGCUGAGGCGCGAAAGCUAGGGGAGCAAACGGG